GGAUAUGAGGGCAAUGUGGCUGUGACCUCUGUCACCCCACUACUGUCAUAUUGUCAAGGUUGAUUUGGCUGGCUAGGCGGGUGUCCCCUUCCUCCCUCGCCACCCCCUGUGCAUCCCUCCUGAAGCUGCGCGCUCAGUCAAAGGGAAGGUCUCCCCGAAGAGAGACCGUUCUCCGGCUGAGGAGACGAGACGCCGCGCUCCCCUGCUAGACCUCCAAACAAGCUGAGAACAGAACAAACAACUCUGUAUUUCUGAUGUAAAAUCCGUUUCAGUCUAAACCUACACAAGAAUACUGAUAUCCAGGUAU
This 307-nucleotide small nuclear RNA is filed under the name Sorex araneus (European shrew). RNAcentral describes it as "7SK RNA (ENSSARG00000018066.1)". It matches the Rfam family "7SK RNA". From Rfam's summary of the family: 7SK was discovered as an abundant small nuclear RNA in the mid-70s but a possible function has only recently been suggested. Two independent studies have found that 7SK RNA binds the CDK9/cyclin T complex (known as elongation factor P-TEFb). Lineage: Eukaryota; Metazoa; Chordata; Mammalia; Eulipotyphla; Soricidae. The record is from RNAcentral.